RNAcentral lists this ribosomal RNA (406 nucleotides) under uncultured bacterium. RNAcentral's name for it is "partial 16S ribosomal RNA". It matches the Rfam family "Bacterial small subunit ribosomal RNA", at positions 30 to 526 of the family's 1533-position model. The record is from RNAcentral.
AUUGAACGCUGGCGGCAGGCUUAACACAUGCAAGUCGAGCGAGCGGAGGACGGGUGAGUAAUGUCUGGGAAACUGCCUGAUGGAGGGGGAUGACUACUGGAAACGGUAGAUAAUACCGCAUACCAUCAGAUGUGCCCAGAUGGGAUUAGCUAGUAGGUGGGGUAACGGCUCACCUAGGGGACGAUCCCUAGCUGGGCUGAGAGGCUGACCAGCCACACUGGAACUGAGACACGGUCCAGACUCCUACGGGAGGCAGCAGUGGGGAAUAUUUCACAAUGGGCGAAAGCCUGAUGCAGCCAUGCCGCGUGUGUGAAGAAGGCCUUCGGGUUGUAAAGCACUUUCAGUGAGGAGGCGUUACUCGCAGAAGAAGCACCGGCUAACUCCGUGCCAGCAGCCGCGGUAAUUC